RNAcentral lists this ribosomal RNA (472 nucleotides) under uncultured bacterium. Its description in RNAcentral is "partial 16S ribosomal RNA". It matches the Rfam family "Bacterial small subunit ribosomal RNA", at positions 28 to 507 of the family's 1533-position model. The record is from RNAcentral.
GACGAACGCUGGCGGCGUGCUUAACACAUGCAAGUCGAGCGGAAAGGCCCUUCGGGGUACUCGAGCGGCGAACGGGUGAGUAACACGUGAGUAAUCUGCCCUUGGCUUUGGGAUAACUACCGGAAACGGUGGCUAAUACCGGAUACGACAACCGUCUGCAUGGGCUGGUUGUGGAAAGUUUUUUCGGCCAGGGAUGUGCUCGCGGCCUAUCAGCUUGUUGGUGGGGUAAUGGCCUACCAAGGCUUCGACGGGUAGCCGGCCUGAGAGGGUGACCGGCCACACUUGGACUGAGACACGGCCCAGACUCCUACGGGAGGCAGCCGUGGGGAAUAUUGGACAAUGGGCGGAAGCCUGAUCCAGCAACGCCGCGUGAGGGAUGACGGCCUUCGGGUUGUAAACCUCUUUCAGUACCGACGAAGCGCCGAUGAUGGUGGUGACGGUAGGUACAGAAGAAGCACCGGCCAACUACGUG